RNAcentral lists this long non-coding RNA (1137 nucleotides) under Delphinapterus leucas (beluga whale). RNAcentral describes it as "lncRNA (ENSDLEG00000018710.1)". Lineage: Eukaryota; Metazoa; Chordata; Mammalia; Artiodactyla; Monodontidae. The record is from RNAcentral.
AUGCCCACCAGGGGCAGGGCUGUGCCCCUAGCCCCACAGGCCCCUGGUCGGCCCCGGCCUUGCCAGCCUCCCUGCUCCCCUGAGCCCCUGACGGGUCGGCCACCAUGCCGCUGCCCGCGCGACAGCCCUUCAGUACCCAGAUCCUGCCGGUUCCGUGGUGGAGCCCCAGGCCCUCCUGUCCUGCCUGGCUUGUUUCUUGGCCCCCGUCGUGUGGCUCCUGCUCAGGGGCACGUGGAACUGGCCUUUGGCAGCUCCUGCCCCACUGCAGUCCCUGCAGAGAGGGACAUGGAGCCGAAGGGCCCCCUCCUGCCUCCUGCCCUGGGUGCCCUACCAGGAAGUGCCAUGCCACUCGUAGGAUGCCACGGCCCUGCCCAUCUGGGCUUGGGUGACAGCUGUUGGGACACCCGCAUGCCCCAAAGUGCCACUGCCUCACCCAGAGCUAGGGGAGCACAGGCCCCCUGGGGUUUGGGAGGAUGGGGGCUGGGGCAGUUCACCUGUGACACUGGGCUGUGUGAGGGCCCAGCAGGCAGAGAGGCAGGCUCUGGGAGAGCCCUUGGACCACCUUCCUGCCCAGUCCCACCCAUGUCAGGGCCGAGGCUUGGGGGAGCCUGGGGGUGGGCCGCGGCCUGGCUCUGGGGGAGCGGGGAUGCCAACCACCCUCCACCUUCACCUUUCUGCGGGCAAAGGCAGACAUCCUGGCAGGGGUGCGGGCGGGUGGCUGGUGCACGGGCGGUACCCACGGAACCCGCACUUGCCAGCCUGGGCGCUGCAGCAUUGCCAGGCAGGUGGGGGGGCGCAGCGGGACCCUUGGGGACGGCCCGUGGGAAUGGGCGGUGGUGCGUGGAGGGCGCGGGUAGAGCGGGCGUGCAGGGCAGCGCUCCUUGGAUGGUCCCCGUUGCCGUGAACACCAUCCAGCCGGCUCUGUCUUACACAGGUGCGCCCAGCCCAGGGCCUCGGGGAGAAGGGGCCCAGGGGGCCCAGUGGAUGGCGGGCAGGGGCGUGGGUGUGCAUGUGUGUGGGGUGAGUGUGGGCUUGUGGAGGCCGGGUGAGCCCCCUCGGGGUCAAGGCCACCUGACCUGCUCCUGUCUACACAGCGUGAGUGGGGAGCUGGAGUGCCAGCUCCCUGUGUGGGCCUGA